GUUUACAUAACAUGCUACUGUGGCGGUGGCACACCUAGUCAACACGUGAGAUCAUGCGAUGAUCAAAGUGACAUCACACAAUCCUCAUACUGUGAUCCUCAGCAUGUGUGUAAAGUGUGAGCUCAACGUGAGUUCAUCUGAUCCUCAUACUGUGAUCCUCAGCAUGUGUGUAAAGCGUGAGAUCAUUGUGAAUGCUUCACAUUCCGGUCCAGUUGGUGGUGGUAAAUGCAUCAUCUAAGCUGGUCUUCCAACCACCAUAAAACAUGUAAAGAAGAAGAAAAAGUUGUGCAUGGGAUUGUUACACCGCAGAAAUGAUUUUGAAGGAACAUGACAUUGAUGUUCCAGCAGACGGACGAACACUAUUGAAAACACCUCGUUCUGGCAGUUUGAGAGUAACAGAAAAAUCAGGUGGCAAAUACACAUAUUUUGGAUUAAAGGAAGGUCUUACGCAUACUCUGUCUGAGCAAGACACUUCAAAAUACGACCACUUUGAGAUUUCUUUGAAUAUUGAUGGCCUACCCAUUUUCAAGUCCAAAAACCUCACAAUGUGGCCACUUCAGUGUGCUGUCAUCAACAUUGAUGAAGUGAAAAACAGUCCUUUUGUUGUUGCUCUGUUUUCUGGAGCAAAGAAACCAAAUGAUUUGGAGUUUUUGAGGGAUUUUAUGGAGGAUCUACAAGAACUGAUGAAACAGGCUUUAAAGGGAAGAGAAUUGUUCUCAAAAACAUCAUAUGUGAUGUACCAGCACGAGCCCUCAUCAAAGGAAUAGUUCAGUUUAAUGGCCGCUAUGGCUGUGACUUUUGUGAUGUAAAGGGAGUUCAUGAGAGUAAAAUGCUUUUUUUGUAUAAAGGAAAUCUCAGAACCAAUGAGUCAUUUAGACAGAAGACAAAUCCUGAACAUCACAAAACAGAUAGGAGAUAGACAUUGAUAUGAUCAGGCAGUUCCCAAUAGAUCCCAUGCAUUGUGUAGACCUAGGAGUGACUAAGCGAAUGUUAAUGCUGUGGAAAGAAGGACCUUUGGCCCAUAGAUUAUCAGCUGGACAUCUUAGCACCAUUACUUAUUUUCAUCAAGCUGUCCGACAUCACAUACCUCCUGAAUUCAGUAGGAAACCCAGGGGGUUAGAUGAACUGAAGUACUGGAAAGCAACUGAAUUCCAAACAUUUUUGCUUUAUACUGGACCAGUAAUUUUGAAAUAUGUUCUCGAUAAGGAGAAGUAUAUUCACUUCCUUUCACUUAGUAUUGGAAUGCGCAUCUUGUACAGUGAAAACCUAAUGGAGCAUCGUGAUUAUGCAGAUGAGCUGUUAACAUAUUUUGUUGAAAAAGGUAGCAACCUGUAUAGCAUGAGUUUCAUCUCAUAUAAUGUGCAUUGCUUGCUACAUCUCACUGAUUUUGCAAAUUACAACAGAUCAUUACACUAUUGUUCAGCGUACAAGUUUGAGAACAAUAUGGGUCAAAUCAAGAGGUUUAUCCACGGUUCAAGUGAUCCACUGAUUCAAGUAGCUAACAGAUUGGCAGAGAGGCAAGCAAUAUCAAGUUCUAAGAAAUCAAAUGUUAACUCUGGUACGCCAAAGACAAAAGAAUGUUAAUGGAACCUUUGUACACUAAGCCAUGUGACUCCAGAAUAAUUGGCAUAUUCAAUGGAUUUCGGAAUCACACUAAAAUGUUACAUACUGACACCACUCAACUGAGACAUAAAGCAAUCAUGAUACCUUUGUCCUUGAUUGAUAAAGAUGAAUACAAUGCGGUAGCGCUUAUACCGCUCAUGCAUUCAGUUUGAUUAGUUAGUCAAGUAGGUCAGUAAGGCAGGGUUUUUGCCUGUUUUAUUGCAUGUUAUCCUGAUUUUGAUCCAAAGACUAUGAAUAGUGUGUGUGUGUGUGUGUGUGUGUGUGUGUGUGUGUGUGUGUGUGCGUGUGUGUGUUUUUUUUUUUUUUACAUUGUACCAAAUGUCCCCACAAUUAAAGUGAACCACCUACAUGUGUAUUGUGGAUAAAACGAUCAGGGAAAAAACGGUUUAAUUGAUGUAGAAAAAUAAAUAUAGAAACAAUAUAACUGAUUUAGAUAAAUGCAAUUUCACUGACCUUAUGUAUGUAAUUUUGAUAACAGGGAAGGAACCAAAGGAAACAAAAUGCAAAGAGUCACCAUGGAGAAAUUGUUUGAUCUGAAUACUAAGAUACUCCAACAAAUUCAAAUGCUGGAACAGAGACAAGCUGUCAUCAUGAAUGACUUGGCAAAAGUUAAGUCUGUUCUCAUGAAGCGGGCAGAAGAAGAUGCCCAUGAGGAACUUUUUAAACAACAAUAGUGCUCCAGCUUUGAAACGUUUGAAGCCUUCUGUCAGAGGCUUGAAGAAGACAAAAAUUAUCGAGAGCUUUAUGUACACUAUCUCAUCCAUACUCACAGCAGCUCCAAUAUAGGUGAGAUGGUGAGAUAGGCUUUAAAAAGCAUAGCGUCAGACAAUGUUCUCUGUCUGUAUAACAGAAUGGGGAAAGAUGGGAAGAAGGUGUUGCCACCUGUGCUCCUGACAUGUUUGAAAAAAUGUGUCAGGUCUUUUCACAAACAAAAUGAAAUAGAGGUGAAGAAGCUAAAAGUAACCACCAGAACAACACCAGACGCGGAAUGUAUUCGCCAAGUAGAAUUUUUUUUGUCCAACGCCUACACCAGGCUGAAAAGGAAACCAAAUAAAGGAAAAAGCUGA
Molecule: long non-coding RNA, 2690 nt
Organism: Tachysurus fulvidraco (yellow catfish)
Lineage: Eukaryota; Metazoa; Chordata; Actinopteri; Siluriformes; Bagridae
Exons: 6
Source: RefSeq, a predicted model, not a curated record